GACGAACGCUGGCGGCGUGCCUAAUACAUGCAAGUAGAACGCACAGUUUAUACCGUAGCUUGCUACACCAUAGACUGUGAGUUGCGAACGGGUGAGUAACGCGUAGGUAACCUGCCUGGUAACGGGGGAUAACUAUUGGAAACGAUAGCUAAUACCGCAUAAUAUUGAUUAUUGCAUGAUAAUUGAUUGAAAGAUGCUAUUGCAUCACUACCAGAUGGACCUGCGUUGUAUUAGCUAGUAGGUGAGGUAACGGCUCACCUAGGCGACGAUACAUAGCCGACCUGAGAGGGUGAUCGGCCACACUGGGACUGAGACACGGCCCAGACUCCUACGGGAGGCAGCAGUAGGGAAUCUUCGGCAAUGGACGAAAGUCUGACCGAGCAACGCCGCGUGAGUGAAGAAGGUUUUCGGAUCGUAAAGCUCUGUUGUAAGAGAAGAACGGGUGUGAGAGUGGAAAGUUCACACUGUGACGGUAUCUUACCAGAAAGGGACGGCUAACUACGUG
RNAcentral lists this ribosomal RNA (505 nucleotides) under uncultured bacterium. RNAcentral's name for it is "partial 16S ribosomal RNA". It matches the Rfam family "Bacterial small subunit ribosomal RNA", at positions 28 to 507 of the family's 1533-position model. The record is from RNAcentral.